UCUUAUCGAAAUAAUACAAAGUUUCAAAGAAACAAAGCAAAACAAAACAAAACAAAAUGAAAAUAAAAUCAAAAUCUAUCCGAAUAAAAAGACGAAUAAACUAUCAUAUCGAUCGAUACUAAUAGUUCGAUCUCCGAUGAUUAUGAUCCUGUCCAAUCAAAUUUAAGUUUGAAAGAUUACAAUGAAAGAGAGAGAGAGAGAGAAAGAGAGAGAAGAUAGGAAGAAAGUAACAUGACAUUAAAUCGAUAGAACUAUCGAAUCUCGUUCGUUCUCUUGAAGAUGAUGCUUCGUGAUUUUCACCGUGAACGCGACGAUUUAGCCAUGACGAGAUGGAGAAAAGGAGGAGAGGAGAGUGGUAGAAGGAAGAGAAAGAGAAAGAGAAAGAGAGAGAAAAAGAGAAGCAGAAUUGCGUAACUAUAACAGAGCUGGGAUCUAUAUUUUAACUCGCGUUUUGUCGUAAGAGCAGCUGCUAGUUGGAGUCUUCCCUUUCAAAAGCUUGCUUUUACGUGUUAGUAUAUAACCGGAGUUACAGAGGCAACGAACGAAGAUGGAGAACAUGGUAUAUUCGGAUGAAAAAACAAAGACGAAGAAAAGGCACCAAGGUGCAAAGAGAAGCCUCCUGGGUGGACGACCAACAUAUUUAUAGUCACGCGCGACUUUACUCUUUCACAUUCAAAUGUAUAUACAAUCUAUGUAUGUAUGAUGUAUAUAUGUAAUAUGUGUGUGUAUAUACGUACGCGCGCGCGUGUGUGUGUGUAUAAUUUGUAUAUUUGUAAAACUCAGACCUGAAUAUAAUAGACGACAAUAUGCUGCUAUAUUCACAAAUUAGUUUCAUCUUCGAGAUAGUUGCAUCAUUGGCUUAUAUACACAGAUGUGGCAACUUGAUUAUAAAAAAGAAAUUCUUUACGCGUAAAUCCUCUCGCACGCAACAAAACACACACACACACGUACAUACAACACAUACCUCACAAAAAUCGUAUAAAUUAUUUUCUUUUAGUUUUAUGAGAGAUAUUAGAAGUGUUAUUCAAUCUGAUAAAGUUUGUAAGUUUAAGGUAAAAUACAUCGUUUUUUAUAUUUACACGUUUUUCUUAUUCUUUUAAUGGUGGUAAUGAUAAUAACAAUGAUAAUAACAACAACAAUAACAAUAACAAAACAAUAAUAAAGUUUGCCUUUUUUUCGUAUGUUAAAUCUGAAAUCUUCGACAAAAAUACUAUGAUUAUCCUUAGACAAGAUAAAUUCUUCAGUUUUAUUAACCAUAGUAUAUGCUAUCGCUUAUCAUGAAUAUUUACCUUGCGGUGAUAAAUCCAUCCGUAAAUAACGUUAUGCUGAAUGUAAUAAAAUAAUUCUACGUAAAUAUAAGAUUUAUGAAAAUAAAAAGAAUGCAUUGUUAAUAAUUAUUUUAUUAAUAUUUAAUAUUUUGAUUGUUGCUUAAAUGUAUCCACGUGUAUAUAGAUAACCAAAGAGAAUAACGUAAAAUUAGGAAAAAUAAUUAUUUACCGAACACAGCUUAAUGAUAAUUAACCAAAUAAUUAGAAAUUUGUAAGAACAAGGAAAUAUUUUUAUAAGACAUUAAUUAAUUUAAAAAUGAAAAUUGAAAUAAAAACUAUAUCGAAGAUAAAAAAAAAUAAAAUAUUUUAUAAAAAUGAAGGAAAUUUAACUCUACCAGAAAGAUGAACUUUACUUUAUAUUCGAAAAUAGAGAAUAAGGAUGUCUACCUAUCGACACUCUUAGUUCUUUUGCAUAUCCAAAGACUGUGUCUAGUGCUGUCCUCUACGAUCUAGUUUUAUAGUUGGUAGUCUGCUUCAUUAGAAAGGUAGAUACUCUAUCUGAUAUCGAAAGGAAGCAACAAAGUAACAGAUCCUAUAGUGUAAAUAGCGACUAUCGAUAAUACGAAUCGUUACGUUACAAUAUGGAGUAAAUAUUUACAUAUGUGUGUACGUACGUGACUAUAUAAAGUAUGUAAUAUAUAAUAUAUCUAUGUUUAUAUAAUUCUUUUUAUUUUUUAUUUUUUUUACUACACACACACACAAAAUUAUUGUUGUUUAAUGGCUAUAAUGGUAUUGUCUUUACUUUAUUGCUUUUUGCAACAGUUAAAUAAUUAUAUAGCUAACAAUGAUGUUGAGAAGGUCACAAAACGUAAAAAUAGGUUAACUGUAAUAAUUUUAUGAUUAGUUAAAAACGCUUAAAGUUACCGGAAGAAUGAGUACUUCGAGGGAAGAGAGAGUAGCAUAUUAGUGUAAUGUGUAUCCGUGUGCUCCGGUUACCUGUAGCAGAAUAUAACUUCGUCUUUCUAAUAAAUUUGUGUCGAUUUAAACGUG
Long non-coding RNA from Vespula pensylvanica (western yellowjacket), 2318 nucleotides. RefSeq lists it as uncharacterized. The record is from RefSeq and is a predicted model, not a curated record. The transcript is spliced from 2 exons. NCBI's taxonomy places the organism in Eukaryota, Metazoa, Arthropoda, Insecta, Hymenoptera, Vespidae.